CUGAUCUUUACCUACCUUCCAUUAGAUCAAGUCAAAGAAACUAAGACAUGUGAGUGUGUGUUUGUGUGUUCCAGGUGGCAAAUGCUAUUGAAGCUGCUGGUUUGAAGGGAGAAAAAGGAGAUCGGGGUGAUGAGUGUUCUGACUCUCGUUCCAGCCCAUGCACAGAAGGACCCAAAGGCCAGAAGGGAAAGAAAGGCGAGCUGGUGAGUGCUGAUGUUUGGCCACAGGUUGCAGCAGUGUAUCCCAGAGCUAUCCAGUCCAGCAGCUAUAAAGUGAGAUUUUUUAUUCCAGAAAGUCCUUUUCGAGCAAUCUGCCCCAAGUUUUAAUGGAGCCAGGGAGCAGUAAUGUUCUUUUUUACAGUUCUUUUUUACCCGUUUGACAACAGAGAAUGUGUGGAUGGAUUUAAUAGACUUCUGACUGCUCAUGUGUUUACAAAUCUUUGUAUCUACUGGUAAUAAGACUCAGUAUUAUAUGUUCCACAAUGCCAAUGUAACAGUGCUGUAGUAACUGAUGCUUGACAUCAAGGGUUUAGGAGUCCAGACUUUGAGGUUGAAGCUUUUUGUCAUGUCAGAUUACUCUUCUGUGACUCUUUGACUUGUCCUUCCCUUGACAAAUUGCUGUUUUGAUACGUCUGCACAGUCUAAAAGUCUGCUUCUAUUCUAAAGGUCAAUGUUUAUGAAAGGAGCACAAGACCAGCGGGUUAUCCACACUGUUAUUGACCAUGUUGUGAGGGUUUAUGGGUUUUUGUCUGUUCUACAGUCCUGGAUCUGAGACUUGUCUCUUUUCUUUCUUUGCAGUCUGUGGCUCCCAACCUGGGCGAAGCGGUUUGGAAUAAGGUAAAGUUUCAGAGGAAAGAAUUGUUCAAUAAGGAAUGAAUAUUUGACUCUUCAGUGAUUGUUUUCAUGUUUUGAUUCUGUUUUAAAGGGAGAGAAAGGUCAGAAGGGAGAGAUCGGUCCACAGGGUCUGACUGGCACACCUGGGAAGAAUGUAGGUGUUUUGAACUUAAUUUGGGUUCAAGAUCAUUGACUGUAUGAGAGACCUGGACCAAGUCACCCCUCCCCCGUUGUGUUCCAAAUAGGAAGUACCCGCAG
This 1091-nucleotide long non-coding RNA is filed under the name Oryzias sinensis (Chinese medaka). RNAcentral describes it as "lncRNA (ENSOSIG00000003662.1)". Lineage: Eukaryota; Metazoa; Chordata; Actinopteri; Beloniformes; Adrianichthyidae. The record is from RNAcentral.